CUCUUUCCGAUACACAACUAUAUCAGCAGCCAGAAGCACAACAGCCAUUGCCUUGGCAUCAAUCUCAGCCGCAACAGCCAUUGGCUCGUGCUGAACCUGAACUGCAAGAGGCUUUACAUCAACCUACGCCACCACAAAAGCCUUGGCAUCAAUCUCAGCCGCAACAGCCAUUGGCUCGUGCUGAACCUGAACUGCAAGAGGCUUUACAUCAACCUACGCCACCACAAAAGCCUUGGCAUCAAUCUCAGCCGCAACAGCCAUUGGCUCGUGCUGAACCUGAACUACAAGAGGCUUUACAUCAACCUACACCACCACAAAAGCCUUGGCAUCAAUCUCAGCCGCAACAGCCAUUGGCUCGUGCUGAACCUGAACUACAAAAGGCUUUACAUCAACCUACACCACCACAAAAGCCUUGGCAUCAAUCUCAGCCGCAACAGCCAUUGGCUCGUGCUGAACCUGAACUACAAAAGGCUUUACAUCAACCUAUGCCACCACAAAAGCCUUUGCAUCAACCUACACCACCACCAAAGCCUUUGCAUCAAC
Molecule: long non-coding RNA, 543 nt
Filed under: Daucus carota (carrot)
Lineage: Eukaryota; Viridiplantae; Streptophyta; Magnoliopsida; Apiales; Apiaceae
Description: long non-coding RNA (DCAR_LNC006155)
Source: RNAcentral